UCAGACCUGAUCUCCGGCAGACCCGAAUGGUCCUGCUUGUAGAUAGUGCAUGUGGGGGCAUGCAUGAGAUGACCCCAACUUUUGGGAGCAUGUGAGGAUGGCCAAUGUGCCCCUCCCCCCAGGCAAGGUGUGCACGAGUUCGGACACAAAACACACGUUGUGUCACAUGGGGGCAGUGUUGUAGGGUUUUGUCAACGGAAAAACCCUAGAAAAUGCAUCUAGUUUUGGAAAUGAACGAUACUCGUCAUGCAUGCUUGCCAUGGUCAUCCUAGGGUUUGCAUACAGUUUGGUCUGAAUUGGUGAGACCGAGAAGAUAAAUCUGCUCCUAGUACAUGGUGCAUGUGGAGGUAUGCAUGCGACUGUCCCAACUACAUUUGAUUUAAUAAUAUUUGAAGUUUCAAACAGAAAAUAAAAUUUAUAAUUUGGAAUGAAGAAUUGAAAUAAUGAAGAAGUGCAAUAGAACUUAACAUAUUAUCAAUUACAUUUUGGAAAUAUUUCGAAUAUAAAGAAGAGAACAAAUAUUAGAAUGAAGAAGUGAAAUAAAACAGAACAUUUUAUCUUACAAAUUAAAAAUAUUUCAAAAAUAAUAAAG
Molecule: long non-coding RNA, 592 nt
Filed under: Triticum aestivum (bread wheat)
Lineage: Eukaryota; Viridiplantae; Streptophyta; Magnoliopsida; Poales; Poaceae
Description: long non-coding RNA (TAES_LNC021275)
Source: RNAcentral